RNAcentral lists this ribosomal RNA (372 nucleotides) under uncultured organism. RNAcentral describes it as "bacterial SSU rRNA". It matches the Rfam family "Bacterial small subunit ribosomal RNA", at positions 526 to 896 of the family's 1533-position model. The record is from RNAcentral.
CAGAGGGUGCGAGCGUUGUUCGGAAUUAUUGGGCGUAAAGCGCGUGUAGGCGGGAUGGCAAGUCGGGUGUGAAAGCCCUCAGCUCAACUGAGGAAGUGCGCCCGAAACUACUGUUCUUGAGUAUCGGAGAGGGUGGCGGAGUUCCCGGUGUAGAGGUGAAAUUCGUAGAUAUCGGGAGGAACACCAGUGGCGAAGGCGGCCACCUGGCCGAAUACUGACGCUGAGACGCGAAAGCGUGGGGAGCAAACAGGAUUAGGUACCCUGGUAGUCCACGCCGUAAACGAUGAGUGCUAGGUGUUGUGGGUGUUGACCCCCGCAGUGCCGAAGCUAACGCAUUAAGCACUCCGCCUGGGAAGUACGGCCGCAAGGCUA